GAUGAACGCUGGCGGCGUGCCUAAUACAUGCAAGUCGAGCGGACGGACGCGGAUCUUGCUUCUCUGAUGUUAGCGGCGGACGGGUGUGUAACACGUGUAUAACCUACCUAUAAGACUGGGAUAACUUCGGGAAACCGGAUCUAAUACCGUAGAAUAUUCUGAAGCGCAGUGUUCGAAGGUAAAAGACGGUCUUGGUGGCUCUUCUCGCUGGAUCCCCGCUGCAUUAGGUAGUUGGUCAGGUAACGGCCUACCAAGGCAAGGAUGCAUAGCCGACCGGUGAGGGUGGUCGGCCACACUGGAGCUGAGACACGGUCCAGACUCCUACGGGAGGCAGCAGUAGGGAAUCUUCCGCAAUGGGCGAAAGCCUGACGGAGCAACGCCGAGUGAGUGAUGACGGUCCUCGGAUCGUAAAACUCUGUUACUAGGGAAGAACAUAUGUGUAAGUAACUGUGCACAGCUUGACGGUAAUUAAUCAGAAAGCCACGGCUAACUACGUG
This 497-nucleotide ribosomal RNA is filed under the name uncultured bacterium. RNAcentral describes it as "partial 16S ribosomal RNA". It matches the Rfam family "Bacterial small subunit ribosomal RNA", at positions 28 to 507 of the family's 1533-position model. The record is from RNAcentral.